RNAcentral lists this ribosomal RNA (302 nucleotides) under uncultured Pseudomonas sp. Its description in RNAcentral is "bacterial SSU rRNA". It matches the Rfam family "Bacterial small subunit ribosomal RNA", at positions 1084 to 1382 of the family's 1533-position model. Lineage: Bacteria; Pseudomonadati; Pseudomonadota; Gammaproteobacteria; Pseudomonadales; Pseudomonadaceae. The record is from RNAcentral.
GUCCCGUAACGAGCGCAACCCUUGUCCUUAGUUACCAGCACGGUUAUGGUGGGCGACUCUAAGGAGACUGCCGGUGACAAACCGGAGGAAGGUGGGGAUGACGUCAAGUCAUCAUGGCCCUUACGGCCUGGGCUACACACGUGCUACAAUGGUCGGUACAAAGGGUUGCCAAGCCGCGAGGUGGAGCGUAAUCCCAUAAAACCGAUCGUAGUCCGGAUCGCAGUCUGCAACUCGACUGCGUGAAGUCGGAAUCGCUAGUAAUCGUGAAUCAGAAUGUCACGGUGAAUACGUUCCCGGGCCUU